CAUUUAGGAUCUCAUGCCUUUGAUCUCCGUACUUGGGAGGCAUAUGCCUUUAAUCCUGGCACUAGGGAGGAGGAAGUAGGAAGUGAUGCGGCUGGGCAGAGAGAGGAAUCUAAGGCAGGCGGCAACAGGAGCUUGUCCCCUUCUAGGCUGAGAGGAUGGUUAGAGGAAUAUGAAGGAUGGAUGGUUAACAACAAAAGCCACGGAUGUGAACCAGACCCUUUAACCAUGGCUUAAGAAGACCUGCAGUGGAAAGGCAAGUGUGUCUAUCAGAAUGACAGCACCUCUAGACAUUUGGAUACAUACCCAGAGAUGCUCAGAGCUCUGCUGGGGAAGGUCUGCUGUCUGGAAAUGAAGGUUGUGGACGUGAGAGCUUCAAGGCCCUGGCUUCGAGAGCAACUGCAACAGGGACUAUGACUUAUUGCUUCCCACUCUGGAGCAUUCCCUUAGGAAUGAGGUCCACAGGCAUAUGCAGAAGCUGCUCCCCAAAUCUGUGAAGAACAGUAAGUUGUGGAUCACAAGUGAUGGACUACAGAAGCCUCCAGCUUUGGCGAGGGCCAUUGGUCAAAGACCACAGCUACUGGCCUCUGCAGUCUAAAACUGUGUUUGUAUUGGGAUUAUACAUGACAUGAAGGACUGGGCCAGCAUGUUCUGGAGAUUCUGGGCUCUCCUGAUGGCUGACUUGGCUCAAGGACUCUCAGGUGUCCUUUACAAACUGUUAUUAGACCGCAUGGACCAUCUGUCUUCCAAAUGUACCUUCCCUUUCUCCUUCACUGGCAUGGCUAUUUGAUGGCUCACUUAGCCAUCUCCAGCUCCUUCCCCGUUUUGUCUCAUUUUCACUAAUAAAACUCUUGCACAUUUGGUUCCUU
Cricetulus griseus (Chinese hamster) is the source of this 866-nucleotide non-coding RNA. Lineage: Eukaryota; Metazoa; Chordata; Mammalia; Rodentia; Cricetidae. The record is from RefSeq and is a predicted model, not a curated record.